GCAGUUAGCUUGAGUCUCUCCCAGACCCAGCCAUUCAUCCACAUCAAAUAAAGACAGUCCAGGCCCCAGCUGGGCCUGCCCCGGGGCACCUCACAACACUCCUGGGAGAGGAAAUCCUGAGUCAACCUGGCUGGGAACCAACUGGAAACCAGGGACUUUAGUCAUGGCUGUCUGCUCUUGGGCGGGCCUUGCUGUGCUACCUGCUUCAUCUGAAGUACCGGUGACAAGUCUUCCACCUCCAGGUGUCUUUCUGUGAAAACGUUUCAUUGCGAGUAGCUAAAAGAAGGCAAGAUAAGGAAACUGAGGCAUGGAAAAGUUACACAACUUUCCCUCACUGCUCAGAAAACAGGGCCCUGGAGACAGAUCGCUACCCUCCCACCUGAGUUCAGAAUCACCCUGCAAACCGCCUCCUGGUAGAUAAGAGAUGUACAAAGAAUCAUCAAAAAGAUGCCAACAAGAAGUGAAAUUCCACGAGGAACUUGAAAAAUAUGUUCGCCUGUCUAUCUCAGGGCUCUGGUUCCAGCUCUAGCUCUGUGUCUAGUGAUUUCCUUUUGGGUUUGUUUGUUGCUUAUCCUGUAGAUCAUUGGCUGCCAAAAAUGAGACAAAGAUGUGGUCCUGGAUUGUACCAUCUUUCUCUGCUUUAAAGUCAGUACAAAUCACUUAAAAACAAAAUGAAACAAAACAUGUUGCCUGGCCCUUCAGGGGAAGCUGAGCCUGCUGGUCAGGAGCCAGGGCCUGGCAUUGAGUCCAGGAGAGCACGACUGUGGGCAUUUCCUGUGGUCGGGAGAUGACUCAGGAUGAACUCCGGCCUCUGAGCCACAGGCAGCCCCGGCACUUCACAGUUACCACCCACACCCCACCCUACUCUGGAGCCUGGCAGUCACACUGCCAGCUACAGGGAGCCUGUCCUGUGAGUUAGGCCUGCUCCAGAGGCCCAUGCAGUCAGGGUUCAGAAAUUAUAUUGAAGUCUAAAAGAAUUGAACUCUUUCUGUCUUUUAGUUUGUGGAAUAAAUCCAAAGACGAGAUUUUCCAGAAAAAUACCAUUGGAUGUGAAUUUAUUCUGAAUUGACUCUGAGAACUAGACUCGUUAGGCCCCUUUUUCCUAUCUGUGAAACAAAUAGCAAGACGUCACAUGAACAAACACUGAUUGCCGAGUGGUUCACUCAUUCACAGCUUGCAGAGCUGCUGAGCCUUCUUUUUUCAUUUACUCAUUUAUUGCUUCAGCAGCCGCCUGUGGAGACCCCACAAUGGACCAGGCACUGUUCUGAGAGCACAGUGUUGAUUAAAACCGACAGGGUCUCUGCCUCAUGGAGCUUACAUUCCAGUGGGAGAGACAGACAAGAAACACACGAACAAAUAAAGAUGUCAGAUGGUAACAAAUGCUGAGAAAAAUAAAGGAUGGCAAGGGGUCAGAGAGUGGCCAAGGUGGGGUGGCCAGCAAAGCCUCUCUGCU
This 1453-nucleotide long non-coding RNA is filed under the name Homo sapiens (human). RNAcentral's name for it is "non-protein coding lnc-MARCH7-5:3". Lineage: Eukaryota; Metazoa; Chordata; Mammalia; Primates; Hominidae. The record is from RNAcentral.